This 498-nucleotide ribosomal RNA is filed under the name uncultured Pelotomaculum sp. Its description in RNAcentral is "bacterial SSU rRNA". It matches the Rfam family "Bacterial small subunit ribosomal RNA", at positions 887 to 1382 of the family's 1533-position model. The record is from RNAcentral. Lineage: Bacteria; Bacillati; Bacillota; Clostridia; Eubacteriales; Desulfotomaculaceae.
GCCCGCUCAGAAACUUAAAGGAAUUGACGGGGGCCCGCACAAGCGGUGGAGCAUGUGGUUUAAUUCGACGCAACGCGAAGAACCUUACCAGGGCUUGACAUCCCCUGACCGCGUAUGAAAGUACGUUUUCACCCUCGGGUGACAGGGAGACAGGUGGUGCAUGGUUGUCGUCAGCUCGUGUCGUGAGAUGUUGGGUUAAGUCCCGCAACGAGCGCAACCCCUACGUUUAGUUGCUAACAGGUGAAGCUGAGCACUCUAGACGAACUGCCGUUGACAAAACGGAGGAAGGUGGGGAUGACGUCAAAUCAUCAUGCCCCUUAUGUUCUGGGCUACACACGUGCUACAAUGGCCGGUACAGACGGAGGCGAAGCCGCGAGGCGGAGCAAAUCCGAAAAAGCCGGUCUCAGUUCGGAUUGCAGGCUGCAAUUCGCCUGCAUGAAGUCGGAAUCGCUAGUAAUCGCAGGUCAGCAUACUGCGGUGAAUACGUUCCCGGGCCUU